UAUGCAUGCAUUAGAUCUUUGAUUUUUUAUAUUGUCUGCUCCCACUGUAGUCUAAGCUCCAGGGGGCAGAAGCCAUACCCGAUUCUUCUCUCUGUUGUAUCCCCCACACCUAGCACAGGGUCUGUCACAGAG
Herpailurus yagouaroundi (jaguarundi) is the source of this 132-nucleotide long non-coding RNA. RefSeq lists it as uncharacterized. The record is from RefSeq and is a predicted model, not a curated record. The transcript has 3 exons. Lineage: Eukaryota; Metazoa; Chordata; Mammalia; Carnivora; Felidae.